GUGCUCACUUCGGCAGCACAUAUACUAAAAUUGGAACGAUACAGAGAAGAUUAGCAUGGCCCCUGCGCAAGGAUGAAAUGAAUAUAAGGAUCACUCUGGCUGGUACUU
Small nuclear RNA from Prolemur simus (greater bamboo lemur), 108 nucleotides. NCBI's taxonomy places the organism in Eukaryota, Metazoa, Chordata, Mammalia, Primates, Lemuridae. The record is from Ensembl.